GAUGAAGAACGUAGCGAAAUGCGAUAAGUAAUGUGAAUUGCAGAAUUCAGUGAAUCAUCGAAUCUUUGAACGCACAUUGCGCCCGUCAGUAUUGUGGCGGGCAUGCCUGUUCGAGCGUCAUUACGCCCCUCAAGUCCCCUGUGGACUUGGUGUUGGGGAUCGGCGAGGCUGGUUUUCCAGCACAGCCGUCCCUUAAAUUAAUUGGCGGUCUCGCCGUGGCCCUCCUCUGCGCAGUAGUAAAACACUCGCAACAGGAGCCCGGCGCGGUCCACUGCCGUAAAACCCCCCAACUUUUUAUAGUUGACCUCGAAUCAGGUAGGACUACCCGCUGAACUUAAGCAUAUCAAUAAGCGGAGGA
RNAcentral lists this unclassified non-coding RNA (358 nucleotides) under soil metagenome. Its description in RNAcentral is "partial contains 5.8S ribosomal RNA, internal transcribed spacer 2, and large subunit ribosomal RNA". The stretch from base 1 to 120 matches the Rfam family "5.8S ribosomal RNA", at positions 35 to 154 of the family's 154-position model. The record is from RNAcentral.